RNAcentral lists this unclassified non-coding RNA (235 nucleotides) under Hevea brasiliensis (rubber tree). The record is from RNAcentral. Lineage: Eukaryota; Viridiplantae; Streptophyta; Magnoliopsida; Malpighiales; Euphorbiaceae.
GCCAGAAGCAUCUAUCCAAAUAAUGCGAACAAAGGUGACAUCCUUUGAUGAUUCAUGUAACUCUUCUGCUUGGAAGAAAGAUAAUAAAGGAGGUUUUACAUCAGAAUAUCUUGAAGAAACAUCAAGCUUGUAGAAUUGCUUUGCGUUUUCUGCAAAGACAUCUUUAACAGCUACAAUAGCUUCUGGAAUUGAAAGAUCACCAUCAACACAUGCAUCACGUAGAACAGAGAAUACU